CCUACGGGUGGCUGCAGUGGGGAAUAUUGGACAAUGGGGGGAACCCUGAUCCAGCCAUGCCGCGUGUGUGAAGAAGGCCCUCGGGUUGUAAAGCACUUUCAGUGAGGAAGAACGCCUGGUGGUUAAUACCCAUCAGGAAAGACAUCACUCACAGAAGAAGCACCGGCUAACUCCGUGCCAGCAGCCGCGGUAAUACGGAGGGUGCGAGCGUUAAUCGGAAUUACUGGGCGUAAAGCGCGCGUAGGUGGCUUGAUAAGCCGGUUGUGAAAGCCCCGGGCUCAACCUGGGAACGGCAUCCGGAACUGUCAAGCUAGAGUGCAGGAGAGGAAGGUAGAAUUCCCGGUGUAGCGGUGAAAUGCGUAGAGAUCGGGAGGAAUACCAGUGGCGAAGGCGGCCUUCUGGACUGACACUGACGCUGAGGUGCGAAAGCGUGGGUAGCAAACAGGAUUAGAUACCCCUGUAGUC
This 465-nucleotide ribosomal RNA is filed under the name Vreelandella stevensii. RNAcentral's name for it is "partial 16S ribosomal RNA". It matches the Rfam family "Bacterial small subunit ribosomal RNA", at positions 338 to 795 of the family's 1533-position model. The record is from RNAcentral. Lineage: Bacteria; Pseudomonadati; Pseudomonadota; Gammaproteobacteria; Oceanospirillales; Halomonadaceae.